This 947-nucleotide ribosomal RNA is filed under the name Stropharia mammillata. Its description in RNAcentral is "LSU rRNA". It matches the Rfam family "Eukaryotic large subunit ribosomal RNA", at positions 38 to 964 of the family's 3401-position model. The record is from RNAcentral. Lineage: Eukaryota; Fungi; Basidiomycota; Agaricomycetes; Agaricales; Strophariaceae.
GCAUAUCAAUAAGCGGAGGAAAAGAAACUAACAAGGAUUCCCCUAGUAACUGCGAAGUGAAGCGGGAAAAGCUCAAAUUUAAAAUCUGGCGGUCUUUGGCCGUCCGAGUUGUAAUCUAGAGAAGUGUUAUCCGCGCUGGACCGUGUACAAGUCUCCUGGAAUGGAGCGUCAUAGAGGGUGAGAAUCCCGUCUUUGACACGGACUGCCAGGGCUUUGUGAUGCGCUCUCAAAGAGUCGAGUUGUUUGGGAAUGCAGCUCAAAAUGGGUGGUAAAUUCCAUCUAAAGCUAAAUAUUGGCGAGAGACCGAUAGCGAACAAGUACCGUGAGGGAAAGAUGAAAAGAACUUUGGAAAGAGAGUUAAACAGUACGUGAAAUUGCUGAAAGGGAAACGCUUGAAGUCAGUCGCAUUGUCUGGGAAUCAACCUUGCUUUUGCUGGGCGUACUUUCCAGAUGAUGGGUCAGCAUCAAUUUUGACCGUUGGAUAAAGUUCAAAGGAAUGUGGCAUCUUCGGGUGUGUUAUAGCCUUUGUUCGCAUACAACGGUUGGGAUUGAGGAACUCAGCACGCCGAAAGGCCGGGUACUUGUACCACGUUCGUGCUUAGGAUGCUGGCAUAAUGGCUUUAAUCGACCCGUCUUGAAAACACGGACCAAGGAGUCUAACAUGCCUGCGAGUAUUUGGGUGGAAAACCCGAGUGCGUAAUGAAAGUGAAAGUUGAGAUCCUUGUCAUGGGGAGCAUCGACGCCCGGACCAGACCUUUUGUGACGGUUCUGCGGUAGAGCAUGUAUGUUGGGACCCGAAAGAUGGUGAACUAUGCCUGAAUAGGGUGAAGCCAGAGGAAACUUCUGGUGGAGGCUCGUAGCGAUUUCUGACGUGCAAAUCGAUCGUCAAAUUUGGGUAUAGGGGCGAAAAGACUAAUCGAACCAUCUAGUAGCUGGGUUCCUGCCGA